GGUAUUGAAAUAAGAUUUUAAUUGAAUGCUAAGAGAAUGGAAUUACAGAAAACAGCUUUUUUUAAAUUAAAAAUUGAAUUUUUUUUAAUUUGUGCAGAAACAAUUAUCAAUAUUAAGGACAAGAAGACCCUAUGAAUUUAUAAAUUUAUAAAAAUAGUAAUGACUAUAAAAUAAAUUUUGGCUGGGGCGGCAAAAAAAUAUCAUUAACUUUUUGAAAAUAAAAUGAUCCAUUAUUAAUGAUUAUAUGUUAAAUACUCUAGGGAUAACAGCGUUAUAUUUUUUGAUAGACCAUAUUGACAAAAAAGUUUGCGACCUCGAUGUUGGAUUAGGAUACUUUUUUAAUGAAGAUAU
This 351-nucleotide ribosomal RNA is filed under the name Rhipicephalus haemaphysaloides. RNAcentral describes it as "partial 16S ribosomal RNA". Lineage: Eukaryota; Metazoa; Arthropoda; Arachnida; Ixodida; Ixodidae. The record is from RNAcentral.